AUGGAGACCGAGGUGGUUGGGCCCGACGGCCUCCCGCAGGCCGCCACCGAGCUGGACCUGGACGCCGUGGCCGUGGCCGUCCCCGCCCAUCGGCCGGCGCCGACGCGGCGGACCAUCGCGACCUUCCCUGACAGCCUCGACGGCGGGUUGAACCUCUACUGCUCCCUGCUGGCCUCGUGCGACGGCCUCCUCCUCAUCCGCGACGCCGCCCGGCAGUACCUCGUGCUUAACCCCGCGACGUGGCAGUGGAGCGACCUGCCGCGGCUGGCCGUACAGCAGGGUGGCCGCGCCGUGACACAGGAGUCCGGCUUCUACUUCCACCAGCCCUCCGGCGAGUACCGGCUACUGUGCCACGUCUCGUACGAGUACGGCGAGUUCGACGCCCAAGCGCCACACUACUGCGUCUUGUCGACCGGCGCCAAGGAGCCGCGGCGACUGAUGAGCGUGCAAGCCACGCCCAUGGAGAUGGAGAUGGAGGAGACCAUCGCCUACCACCAGUGGCUGCCCCCUAAAUCCCGAUGCUUCAUGAACCUUAUGACGCCGGCGGAGCUUCACGGCCGCCUGCACUGGCUGCAGCACGUGGAGGCCGGGCUCACGGGUCAGAUGGUGGCGUUCGACACGGCGGCCGAGACGUUCCGCCGGAUGCCGCCUCCGCCCGUCACCUGCAAGAUGCACUCGCACCUGCUCGUCGCGGACGGGUCGCUUAUGGUGGCCGAGCUGGGCCACCGAUUCAUGGACCUCUGGUUUCUCGAGGGCUACGGCGGUGGCGCGGCCGAGGGGACGUGGGAGCACCGGCACCGCGUCGACAUGCGGUGGCCGAUCACAGGGCCGUUGCUCGUGGCGGGUGGCGACGGAGGGGACGUCGUCCUGGGACAUAACCAAGGCGUGGUGGCGUACAACCUGAGGAGCAGGACCGUCAGGCAGGUGGUCGACGUCGACGAGUCGGGAGACGAACCUCUUCUUCUCCCGUCACGGUACGUGUUUCGGGAGAGCCUGGUUCGGCACGGCUUCUUCGAGGAGCGGAAGCAUCCCGGCUUGCCGUCGUUCAGAUGCGGCCCAUGA
This 1062-nucleotide ribosomal RNA is filed under the name Triticum aestivum (bread wheat). RNAcentral's name for it is "partial small subunit ribosomal RNA". Lineage: Eukaryota; Viridiplantae; Streptophyta; Magnoliopsida; Poales; Poaceae. The record is from RNAcentral.